This 311-nucleotide unclassified non-coding RNA is filed under the name uncultured Sordariomycetes. RNAcentral describes it as "sequence contains ITS1". The stretch from base 1 to 105 matches the Rfam family "5.8S ribosomal RNA", at positions 50 to 154 of the family's 154-position model. The record is from RNAcentral. Lineage: Eukaryota; Fungi; Ascomycota; Sordariomycetes.
GAAAUGCGAUAAGUAAUGUGAAUUGCAGAAUUCAGUGAACCAUCGAAUCUUUGAACGCACAUUGCGCCCGCCAGCAUCCUGGCGGGCAUGCCUGUUCGAGCGUCAUUUCAACCAUCAAGCCCCGAGCUUGUGUUGGGGACCUGCGGCCGCCGCAGGCUCCGAAAAGCAGUGGCGGGCUCGCCGCCGCACCGAGCGUAGUAGCAAUCACCUCGCUCAGGGCGUGCUGCGGGCGCCGGCCGUCAAAGACGUCGACGUCGACGUAUCCCCCCAAGGUUGACCUCGGAUCAGGUAGGAAUACCCGCUGAACUUAA